AUAUCAAUAAGCGGAGGAAAAGAAACCAACAGGGAUUGCCCUAGUAACGGCGAGUGAAGCGGCAACAGCUCAAAUUUGAAAUCUGGCUCUCGGGCCCGAGUUGUAAUUUGUAGAGGAUACUUUUGAUGCGGUGCCUUCCGAGUUCCCUGGAACGGGACGCCAUAGAGGGUGAGAGCCCCGUCUGGUUGGAUGCCAAAUCUCUGUAAAGUUCCUUCAACGAGUCGAGUAGUUUGGGGAUGCUGCUCUAAAUGGGAGGUAUAUGUCUUCUAAAGCUAAAUACCGGCCAGAGACCGAUAGCGCACAAGUAGAGUGAUCGAAAGAUGAAAAGCACUUUGAAAAGAGAGUUAAAAAGUACGUGAAAUUGUUGAAAGGGAAGCGUUUAUGACCAGACUUGGGCUUGGUUAAUCAUCUGGGGUUCUCCCCAGUGCACUUUUCCAGUCCAGGCCAGCAUCAGUUUUCCCCGGGGGAUAAAGGCGGCGGGAAUGUGGCUCUCUUCGGGGAGUGUUAUAGCCCACCGUGUAAUACCCUGGGGGGGACUGAGGUUCGCGCAUCUGCAGGGAUGCUGGCGUAAUGGUCAUCAACG
This 583-nucleotide ribosomal RNA is filed under the name Fusarium oxysporum f. sp. albedinis. RNAcentral describes it as "LSU rRNA". It matches the Rfam family "Eukaryotic large subunit ribosomal RNA", at positions 40 to 646 of the family's 3401-position model. The record is from RNAcentral. Lineage: Eukaryota; Fungi; Ascomycota; Sordariomycetes; Hypocreales; Nectriaceae.